UACAGAGGCCCCAAGCGUUACUGAGAAUCACUGGGGUUAAAGGGUGCGUAGGUGGCGCGUUAAGUCCGUUGUGAAAUCCCUUGGCUCAACCAAGGAACUGCUUCGGAUACUGGCGUGCUUGAGGCUAGUAGAGGUCACUGGAACUGACGGUGGAGCGGUGAAAUGCGUAGAUAUCGUCAGGAACGCCAAUGGUGAAGACAGGUGACUGGGCUAGUUCUGACACUGAGGCACGAAAGCGUGGGGAGCGAACGGG
Molecule: ribosomal RNA, 253 nt
Filed under: uncultured bacterium
Lineage: Bacteria
Description: partial 16S ribosomal RNA
Rfam family: Bacterial small subunit ribosomal RNA
Source: RNAcentral